This 425-nucleotide ribosomal RNA is filed under the name uncultured bacterium. Its description in RNAcentral is "partial 16S ribosomal RNA". It matches the Rfam family "Bacterial small subunit ribosomal RNA", at positions 354 to 796 of the family's 1533-position model. The record is from RNAcentral.
GUGGGGAAUCUUGCGCAAUGGGCGAAAGCCUGACGCAGCCAUGCCGCGUGGAUGAUGAAGGUCUUAGGAUUGUAAAAUCCUUUCACCGGUGAAGAUAAUGACUGUAGCCGGAGAAGAAGCCCCGGCUAACUUCGUGCCAGCAGCCGCGGUAAUACGAAGGGGGCUAGCGUUGCUCGGAAUUACUGGGCGUAAAGGGCGCGUAGGCGGACAGCUUAGUCAGAGGUGAAAGCCCAGGGCUCAACCUUGGAAUUGCCUUUGAUACUGGCUGUCUUGAGUUUGGGAGAGGUGAGUGGAACUCCGAGUGUAGAGGUGAAAUUCGUAGAUAUUCGGAAGAACACCAGUGGCGAAGGCGACUCACUGGCCCAAUACUGACGCUGAGGCGCGAAAGCGUGGGGAGCAAACAGGAUUAGAUACCCUGGUAGUCC